CAAGUCGAACGGGGUUAUCGGGCAGCUUGCUGCCCGAUACACCUAGUGGCGCACGGGUGAGUAACACGUGGGCAACCUACCCAGAAGACCGGGACAACACUUCGAAAGGGGUGCUAAUACCGGAUACGCCCGCGGAGUCGCAUGAUUUAGCGGGGAAAGAAUUUUCGCUUUUGGAUGGGCCCGCGUCCCAUUAGCUAGUUGGUGAGGUAAUAGCUCACCAAGGCAACGAUGGAUAGGGGAACUGAGAGGUUUAUCCCCCACACUGGUACUGAGACACGGACCAGACUCC
Molecule: ribosomal RNA, 289 nt
Filed under: uncultured bacterium
Lineage: Bacteria
Description: partial 16S ribosomal RNA
Rfam family: Bacterial small subunit ribosomal RNA
Source: RNAcentral